This 468-nucleotide ribosomal RNA is filed under the name uncultured bacterium. RNAcentral's name for it is "partial 16S ribosomal RNA". It matches the Rfam family "Bacterial small subunit ribosomal RNA", at positions 28 to 507 of the family's 1533-position model. The record is from RNAcentral.
GACAAACGCUGGCGGCGGGCUUAACACAUGCAAGUCGAACGGAAAGGCCCUGCUUUUGUGGGGUGCUCGAGUGGCGAACGGGUGAGUAACACGUGAGUAACCUGCCCCUGACUUUGGGAUAACUUCAGGAAACUGGGGCUAAUACCGGAUAGGAGCUCCUGCUGUAUGGUGGGGGUUGGAAAGUUUCGGCGGUUGGGGAUGGACUCGCGGCGUAUCAGCUUGUUGGUGGGGUAGUGGCUUACCAAGGCUUUGACGGGUAGCCGGCCUGAGAGGGUGACCGGCAACAUUGGGACUGAGAUACGGCACAGACUCGUACGGGAGGCAGCAGUGGGGAAUAUAGCACAAUGGGCGGAAGCCUGAUGCAGCAACGCCGCGUGCGGGAUGACGGCCUUCGGGUUGUAAACCGCUUUCGCCUGUGACGAAGCGUGAGUGACGGUAAUGGAUAAAGAAGCACCGGCUAACUACGUG